RNAcentral lists this transfer RNA (69 nucleotides) under Ictidomys tridecemlineatus (thirteen-lined ground squirrel). RNAcentral's name for it is "Spermophilus tridecemlineatus (thirteen-lined ground squirrel) tRNA". It matches the Rfam family "tRNA". From Rfam's summary of the family: Transfer RNA (tRNA) molecules are approximately 80 nucleotides in length. Lineage: Eukaryota; Metazoa; Chordata; Mammalia; Rodentia; Sciuridae. The record is from Rfam by way of RNAcentral.
GGGGUUGUAGCUCAGUGGUAGAGCGCUUGCCUCACAUGCAUGAGAUAGUGAGUUCAAUCCUCAGCACUA